UACGAAGGGGGCUAGCGUUGCUCGGAUUUACUGGGCAUAAAGGGCGCGUAGGCGGACAGUUAAGUCGGGGGUGAAAGCCCGGGGCUCAACCUCGGAAUUGCCUUCGAUACUGGCUGUCUUGAGUGUGAGAGAGGUGUGUGGAACUCCGAGUGUAGAGGUGAAAUUCGUAGAUAUUCGGAAGAACACCAGUGGCGAAGGCGACACACUGGCUCACUACUGACGCUGAGGCGCGAAAGCGUGGGGAGCAAACAGG
Molecule: ribosomal RNA, 253 nt
Filed under: uncultured bacterium
Lineage: Bacteria
Description: partial 16S ribosomal RNA
Rfam family: Bacterial small subunit ribosomal RNA
Source: RNAcentral